RNAcentral lists this ribosomal RNA (482 nucleotides) under uncultured bacterium. RNAcentral describes it as "partial 16S ribosomal RNA". It matches the Rfam family "Bacterial small subunit ribosomal RNA", at positions 28 to 501 of the family's 1533-position model. The record is from RNAcentral.
GACGAACGCUGGCGGCGUGCUUAACACAUGCAAGUCGAACGAUGAAGCUGGAGCUUGCUCUAGCGGAUUAGUGGCGAACGGGUGAGUAACACGUGAGCAAUCUGCCCUUGACUCUGGGAUAACUGUGGGAAACUGUAGCUAAUACCGGAUACUUUCACCGGGGGGCAUCCUCUGGUUAUGAAAGAAUUUCGGUCGAGGAUGAGCUCGCGUCAUAUCAGCUUGUUGGUGAGGUAACGGCUCACCAAGGCGACGACGGGUAACCGGCCUGAGAGGGUGACCGGUCACGCUGGGACUGAGACACGGCCCAGACUCCUACGGGAGGCAGCAGUGGGGAAUAUUGCACAAUGGGCGCAAGCCUGAUCCAGCCAUGCCGCGUGUGUGAAGAAGGUCUUCGGAUUGUAAAGCACUUUAAGUCGGGAGGAAGGGCUGCAGGUUAAUACCUUGCAGCCUUGACGUUACCGACAGAAUAAGCACCGGCUAAC